GACGAACGCUGGCGGCGUGCUUAACACAUGCAAGUCGAACGGUAAGGCCCUUCGGGGUACACGAGUGGCGAACGGGUGAGUAACACGUGGGUGAUCUGCCCUGCACUUCGGGAUAAGCCUGGGAAACUGGGUCUAAUACCGGAUAGGACUCCGGACUGCAUGGUCUGGGGUGGAACGCUUUUGCGGUGUGGGAUGGGCCCGCGGCCUAUCAGCUUGGUGGUGGGGUGAUGGCCUACCAAGGCGACGACGGGUAGCCGGCCUGAGAGGGUGACCGGCCACACUGGGACUGAGAUACGGCCCAGACUCCUACGGGAGGCAGCAGUGGGGAAUAUUGCACAAUGGGCGCAAGCCUGAUGCAGCGACGCCGCGUGAGGGAUGACGGCCUUCGGGUUGUAAACCUCUUUCAGCAUCGACGAAGCGAAAGUGACGGUAGGUGCAGAAGAAGGACCGGCCAACUACGUGCCAGCCACCGCCGUAA
RNAcentral lists this ribosomal RNA (478 nucleotides) under uncultured bacterium. Its description in RNAcentral is "partial 16S ribosomal RNA". It matches the Rfam family "Bacterial small subunit ribosomal RNA", at positions 28 to 523 of the family's 1533-position model. The record is from RNAcentral.